GCUACCAUGCAAGUCGCACGGGUGGUUUCGGCCAUCAGUGGCGGACGGGUGAGUAACGCGUAGGAACGUGUCCAGAGGUGGGGGACAACCCCGGGAAACUGGGGCUAAUACCGCAUGGGGGCUGAGGCCCAAAGCCGAGAGGCGCCAUUGGAGCGGCCUGCGUCCGAUUAGGUAGUUGGUGGGGUAAAGGCCUACCAAGCCUGCGAUCGGUAGCUGGUCUGAGAGGACGACCAGCCACACUGGGACUGAGACACGGCCCAGACUCCUACGGGAGGCAGCAGUGGGGAAUAUUGGACAAUGGGCGAAAGCCUGAUCCAGCAAUGCCGCGUGGGUGAAGAAGGUCUUCGGAUCGUAAAGCCCUUUCGACGGGGACGAUGAUGACGGUACCCGUAGAAGAAGCCCCGGCUAACUUCGUGCCUGCAGCCGCGGUAAUACGAAGGGGGCUAGCGUUGCUCGGAAUUACUGGGCGUAAAGGGCGCGUAGGCGGCGGCCCAAGUCAGGCGUGAAAUUCCUGGGCUCAACCUGGGGACUGCGCUUGAUACUGGGUUGCUUGAGGAUGGAAGAGGCUCGUGGAAUUCCCAGUGUAGAGGUGAAAUUCGUAGAUAUUGGGAAGAACACCGGUGGCGAAGGC
This 631-nucleotide ribosomal RNA is filed under the name uncultured bacterium. Its description in RNAcentral is "bacterial SSU rRNA". It matches the Rfam family "Bacterial small subunit ribosomal RNA", at positions 48 to 722 of the family's 1533-position model. The record is from RNAcentral.